GAUGAACGCUGGCGGCGUGCUUAACACAUGCAAGUCGAACGGUGAAGGCGGAGCUUGCUCUGCUGGAUCAGUGGCGAACGGGUGAGUAACACGUGAGCAAUCUGCCCCUGACUCUGGGAUAAGCGCUGGAAACGGCGUCUAAUACUGGAUACGAGCUGCGAAGGCAUCUUCAGCAGCUGGAAAGAAUUUCGGUCAGGGAUGAGCUCGCGGCCCAUCAGCUUGUUGGUGAGGUAAUGGCUCACCAAGGCGUCGACGGGUAGCCGGCCUGAGAGGGUGACCGGCCACACUGGGACUGAGACACGGCCCAGACUCCUACGGGAGGCAGCAGUGGGGAAUAUUGCACAAUGGGCGAAAGCCUGAUGCAGCAACGCCGCGUGAGGGACGACGGCCUUCGGGUUGUAAACCUCUUUUAGCAGGGAAGAAGCGAAAGUGACGGUACCUGCAGAAAAAGCGCCGGCUAACUACGUG
Molecule: ribosomal RNA, 468 nt
Filed under: uncultured bacterium
Lineage: Bacteria
Description: partial 16S ribosomal RNA
Rfam family: Bacterial small subunit ribosomal RNA
Source: RNAcentral